UGGGUUGUGGCUCAGCGGUAGAGCACUCGCCUUGAAUGUACGAGGCCCUGGGUUCAAUCCUCAGCACCACAU
Molecule: transfer RNA, 72 nt
Filed under: Ictidomys tridecemlineatus (thirteen-lined ground squirrel)
Lineage: Eukaryota; Metazoa; Chordata; Mammalia; Rodentia; Sciuridae
Description: Spermophilus tridecemlineatus (thirteen-lined ground squirrel) tRNA
Rfam family: tRNA
About the family: Transfer RNA (tRNA) molecules are approximately 80 nucleotides in length. Their secondary structure includes four short double-helical elements and three loops (D, anti-codon, and T loops).
Source: Rfam by way of RNAcentral